GCCCCGGUAAACGGCGGCCGUAACUAUAACGGUCCUAAGGUAGCGAAAUUCCUUGUCGGGUAAGUUCCGACCUGCACGAAUGGCGUAAUGAUGGCCAGGCUGUCUCCACCCGAGACUCAGUGAAAUUGAACUCGCUGUGAAGAUGCAGUGUACCCGCGGCAAGACGGAAAGACCCCGUGAACCUUUACUAUAGCUUGACACUGAACAUUGAGCCUUGAUGUGUAGGAUAGGUGGGAGGCUUUGAAGUGUGGACGCCAGUCUGCAUGGAGCCGACCUUGAAAUACCACCCUUUAAUGUUUGAUGUUCUAACGUUGGCCCGUAAUCCGGGUUGCGGACAGUGUCUGGUGGGUAGUUUGACUGGGGCGGUCUCCUCCUAAAGAGUAACGGAGGAGCACGAAGGUUGGCUAAUCCUGGUCGGACAUCAGGAGGUUAGUGCAAUGGCAUAAGCCAGCUUGACUGCGAGCGUGACGGCGCGAGCAGGUGCGAAAGCAGGUCAUAGUGAUCCGGUGGUUCUGAAUGGAAGGGCCAUCGCUCAACGGAUAAAAGGUACUCCGGGGAUAACAGGCUGAUACCGCCCAAGAGUUCAUAUCGACGGCGGUGUUUGGCACCUCGAUGUCGGCUCAUCACAUCCUGGGGCUGAAGUAGGUCCCAAGGGUAUGGCUGUUCGCCAUUUAAAGUGGUACGCGAGCUGGGUUUAGAACGUCGUGAGACAGUUCGGUCCCUAU
Molecule: ribosomal RNA, 725 nt
Filed under: Escherichia coli
Lineage: Bacteria; Pseudomonadati; Pseudomonadota; Gammaproteobacteria; Enterobacterales; Enterobacteriaceae
Also listed under: 1 other name
Description: partial 23S ribosomal RNA
Rfam family: Bacterial large subunit ribosomal RNA
Source: RNAcentral